This 767-nucleotide ribosomal RNA is filed under the name uncultured bacterium. RNAcentral describes it as "bacterial SSU rRNA". It matches the Rfam family "Bacterial small subunit ribosomal RNA", at positions 128 to 931 of the family's 1533-position model. The record is from RNAcentral.
ACCAUAUAGUAAGGGAUAACAGUUGGAGACGACUGCUAAUACCAUAUACGCCCUUAGGGGGAAAGAUUUAUCGCUAUAUGAUGAGCCCGCGUAAGAUUAGCUAGUUGGUGAGGUAAUGGCUCACCAAGGCUACGAUCUUUAGCUGGUCUGAGAGGAUGAUCAGCCACACUGGAACUGAGACACGGUCCAGACUCCUACGGGAGGCAGCAGUGGGGAAUAUUGGACAAUGGGCGCAAGCCUGAUCCAGCCAUGCCGCGUGAAUGAUGAAGGCCUUAGGGUUGUAAAGUUCUUUCGCUAUCGAGGAUAAUGACUGUAGAUAGAUAAGAAGCCCCGGCUAACUUCGUGCCAGCAGCCGCGGUAAUACGAAGGGGGCUAGCGUUGUUCGGAAUCACUGGGCGUAAAGCGCGCGUAGGCGGCUAUUCAAGUCAGAGGUGAAAUCCCAGAGCUCAACUUUGGAACUGCCUUUGAAACUGUAUAGCUGGAGUGUUGGAGGGGAUAGCGGAAUUCCUAGUGUAGAGGUGAAAUUCGUAGAUACUAGGAGGAACACCGGUGGCGAAGGCGGCUAUCUGGACAACAACUGACGCUGAGGCGCGAAAGCGUGGGUAUCAAACAGGAUUAGAUACCCUGGUAGUCCACGCUGUAAACGAUGAGUGCUAGCUGUCGGGCCCUUAGGGUUCGGUGGCGCUGCUAACGCAUUAAGCACUCCGCCUGGGGAGUACGGUCGCAAGAUUAAAACUCAAAGGAAUUGACGGGGACCCGCACAAGCG